AAACUUGGCAAUGCGAGAAAUCGUGACCAGGGAACUCCAAGUGGCUGGGGUAAGACCCAGUCUUUUCUUGACUCUUCAAAGGUCUUGGAAUAAGAGGUGGGUAAGGACGGUGCCAGCCGCCGCGGUAAUACCGGCGCCUCAAGUGGUAGUCGAUUUUAUUGGGCCUAAAACGUCCGUAGCCUGUUUGGUACAUUCGUGGGUAAAUCAACCAGCUCAACUGGUUGAAUUCUGCGAGCACGGCCAGACUUGGGACCGGGAGAGGUGUGGGGUACGCUCAGGGUAGGGGUAAAAUCCUGUCAUCCUGAGCGGACCACCUGUUGCGAAGGCGCCACACUAGAACGGAUCCGACGGUCAGGGACGAAGCCUAGGGGCACGAACCGGAUUAGAUACCCGGGUAGUCCUAGGUGUAAACGCUGUGGACUUGGUGUUGGGGAUUCUCCGAGGAUUCUCAGUGCCGAAGCGAAGGUGAUAAGUCCACUGCCUGGGGAGUACGGUCGCAAGGCUGAAACUUAA
This 513-nucleotide ribosomal RNA is filed under the name uncultured archaeon. RNAcentral's name for it is "bacterial SSU rRNA". It matches the Rfam family "Archaeal small subunit ribosomal RNA", at positions 345 to 859 of the family's 1478-position model. The record is from RNAcentral.